AGAAAAACAAACCAUAGGUAUCCGUGUUCAAUGUUUGACGGUCCGUCUUAUGAAAUUAUUUUAUAAUUAAUAUUUUCAUUAUUGUUAGAUGAUAAAACAUGAUUAAUAAGACGAACGGUCAAACGUUGCACAUAAAAACCAGGGUUUAUCUUUUU
This 155-nucleotide microRNA precursor is filed under the name Oryza barthii. RNAcentral describes it as "MIR812 microRNA precursor family". It matches the Rfam family "MIR812 microRNA precursor family". The record is from Rfam by way of RNAcentral. Lineage: Eukaryota; Viridiplantae; Streptophyta; Magnoliopsida; Poales; Poaceae.